This 300-nucleotide ribosomal RNA is filed under the name uncultured Thalassolituus sp. RNAcentral's name for it is "bacterial SSU rRNA". It matches the Rfam family "Bacterial small subunit ribosomal RNA", at positions 114 to 423 of the family's 1533-position model. The record is from RNAcentral. Lineage: Bacteria; Pseudomonadati; Pseudomonadota; Gammaproteobacteria; Oceanospirillales; Oceanospirillaceae.
CGCGUAGGAAAAUGCCUUUAGGUGGGGGACAACAGUUGGAAACGACUGCUAAUACCGCAUACGCUCUACGGAGGAAAGGGGGCUUCGGCUCUCGCUAUUGGAUGUGCCUGCGUGAGAUUAGCUAGUUGGUGGGGUAAAGGCCUACCAAGGCAACGAUCUCUAGCUGGUCUGAGAGGAUGAUCAGCCACACUGGGACUGAGACACGGCCCAGACUCCUACGGGAGGCAGCAGUGGGGAAUAUUGGACAAUGGGCGCAAGCCUGAUCCAGCCAUGCCGCGUGUGUGAAGAAGGCUUUCGGGU